This 579-nucleotide ribosomal RNA is filed under the name uncultured Alishewanella sp. RNAcentral's name for it is "bacterial SSU rRNA". The stretch from base 3 to 512 matches the Rfam family "Bacterial small subunit ribosomal RNA", at positions 9 to 546 of the family's 1533-position model. Lineage: Bacteria; Pseudomonadati; Pseudomonadota; Gammaproteobacteria; Alteromonadales; Alteromonadaceae. The record is from RNAcentral.
UAGAGUUUGAUCAUGGCUCAGAUUGAACGCUGGCGGCAGGCCUAACACAUGCAAGUCGAGCGAGGUUUUCGGACCUAGCGGCGGACGGGUGAGUAAUGCGUAGGAAGCUGCCCGAUAGAGGGGGAUACCAGUUGGAAACGACUGUUAAUACCGCAUAAUGUCUACGGACCAAAGUGUGGGACCUUCGGGCCACAUGCUAUCGGAUGCGCCUACGUGGGAUUAGCUAGUUGGUGGGGUAACGGCCUACCAAGGCGACGAUCCAUAGCUGGUCUGAGAGGAUGAUCAGCCACACUGGGACUGAGACACGGCCCAGACUCCUACGGGAGGCAGCAGUGGGGAAUAUUGCACAAUGGGCGAAAGCCUGAUGCAGCGACGCCGCGUGAGGGAUGACGGCCUUCGGGUUGUAAACCUCUUUCAGUAGGGAAGAAGCGAAAGUGACGGUACCUGCAGAAGAAGCGCCGGCUAACUACGUGCCAGCAGCCGCGGUAAUACCACAACGGCAGAGUUUGAUCAUGGCUCAGUGCCAGCAGCCGCGGUAAUAGAGUUUGGUCCUGCCUCGGUGCCAGCAGCCGCGGUAAU